RNAcentral lists this ribosomal RNA (483 nucleotides) under uncultured bacterium. RNAcentral describes it as "bacterial SSU rRNA". It matches the Rfam family "Bacterial small subunit ribosomal RNA", at positions 28 to 507 of the family's 1533-position model. The record is from RNAcentral.
GAUGAACGCUGGCGGCGUGCUUAACACAUGCAAGUCGAACGGAGUGAAUGAAACGGAAGUUUUCGGAUGGAAGAUUCAUUGACUUAGUGGCGGACGGGUGAGUAACGCGUGGGUAACCUGCCGUAUACAGGGGGAUAACACUUAGAAAUAGGUGCUAAUACCGCAUAAGCGCACAGUGUCGCAUGACACAGUGUGAAAAGCCUCGACGGUAUACGAUGGACCCGCGUCUGAUUAGCUAGUUGGCGGGGUAACGGCCCACCAAGGCGACGAUCAGUAGCCGGUCUGAGAGGAUGAACGGCCACAUUGGGACUGAGAUACGGCCCAGACUCCUACGGGAGGCAGCAGUGGGGAAUAUUGGGCAAUGGGGGAAACCCUGACCCAGCAACGCCGCGUGAAGGAAGAAGGCUUUCGGGUUGUAAACUUCUUUUAGCAGGGACGAAGGACGUGACGGUACCUGCAGAAAAAGCAACGGCUAACUACGUG